RNAcentral lists this ribosomal RNA (402 nucleotides) under uncultured bacterium. RNAcentral's name for it is "bacterial SSU rRNA". It matches the Rfam family "Bacterial small subunit ribosomal RNA", at positions 975 to 1375 of the family's 1533-position model. The record is from RNAcentral.
CAAGUCUUGACAUCCCUCUGAAUCCUCUAGAGAUAGAGGCGGCCUUCGGGACAGAGGUGACAGGUGGUGCAUGGUUGUCGUCAGCUCGUGUCGUGAGAUGUUGGGUUAAGUCCCGCAACGAGCGCAACCCUUGAUUUUAGUUGCCAGCAGGUAAGGCUGGGCACUCUAGAAUGACUGCCGGUGACAAACCGGAGGAAGGCGGGGAUGACGUCAAAUCAUCAUGCCCCUUAUGACUUGGGCUACACACGUACUACAAUGGCUGGUACAACGGGAAGCGAAGCCGCGAGGUGGAGCCAAUCCUAUAAAAGCCAGUCUCAGUUCGGAUUGCAGGCUGCAACUCGCCUGCAUGAAGUCGGAAUUGCUAGUAAUCGCGGAUCAGCAUGCCGCGGUGAAUACGUUCCC